Molecule: ribosomal RNA, 581 nt
Filed under: uncultured eukaryote
Lineage: Eukaryota
Description: SSU rRNA
Rfam family: Eukaryotic small subunit ribosomal RNA
Source: RNAcentral
UUGCGGUUAAAAAGCUCGUAGUUGGAUUUCUGUUGAGAAUGUCCAGUCCGCACAUUGUGCGAGUAUUUGGUACAGUCUUGGCAUCCUCCUGGGGAGCGUUGAUGUACUUGAUUGUAUGUUGCGUGAUUCAGGACUUUUACUUUGAGGAAAUUAGAGUGUUCACGGCAGGCGUUUGCCUUGAAUAUGUUAGCAUGGAAUAAUAAUAUAAGACCUCGGUUUUAUUUUGUUGGUUUCUAGAAGCGAGGUAAUGAUUAAUAGGGACAAUUGGGGGUAUUCGAAUUAACGCGUCAGAGGUGGAAUUCUUGGAUUGCGUUACGACGAACUACUGCGAAAGCAUUUACCAAGGAUGUUUUCAUUGAUCAAGAACGAAAGUCAGGGGAUCGAAGACGAUUAGAUACCGUCGUAGUCUUGACCAUAAACUAUGCCGACUAGAGAUUGGAGGUUCGCUCUUUUUACGGCUCCUUCAGCAUCUUAUGAGAAAUCAAAGUUUUUGGGUUCCGGGGGGAGUAUGGUCGCAAGGCUGAAACUUAAAGGAAUUGACGGAAGGGGCACCACCAGGAAGUGGAGCCCUGCGGCCUUAA